UCUCUCUGUUGGGGCUACUAAUGGAGUAAUCUCCAGAAUCUAUUUAAGGGAUAUUCGGAGAUUAGCUGAAUCCUACUCAAGAACAAAUUGACAGAUUUUCCCUCUAAAAACAAAAAAUUUCAGUUCAAAAACUUCAAUGCAUUAAAAGGAAAUUCAGAGAAUCAAAACAAAGUUGAAUGCAUAUGUUGAGGGGGAGAAUCUGAAUUUUUAAGAAAGCUAAAUCAUUAAAUAUAUAUAAGCCAAACAAUUGAUUGCAUGAUAUGAAGGCUUAUAUAAUUCCAAAUGAAAGGGGGAGCUUUAAUUCCAAAAUUUAUUGUUUCACACCUUUCAAGCUUGGAUAAAUUAAAUAACCAGACACUUGAAUUCAUUUAUGGAUUUUAUUUCCUUGUUUGUUGAGCAAUUCACUUUACAUAUACUCAAUGCUUUGUCAUCAUCAAAAAGGGAGAGAUUGUGGAGUGAUUGAUCAUAACCCUAUUUGAUUUUGAUGAGCUCAAAGCAUCUGAGUAUAUCUCUUGUUUACUAAUGAAUUUAAUUGAGUGUUUCAGUGAAAAUCUUG
This 556-nucleotide long non-coding RNA is filed under the name Phoenix dactylifera (date palm). Its description in RNAcentral is "long non-coding RNA (PDAC_LNC011946)". The record is from RNAcentral. Lineage: Eukaryota; Viridiplantae; Streptophyta; Magnoliopsida; Arecales; Arecaceae.